UGCGAUGGGCUAAACAAGUGUGCGUGUGGCGGUUAGGGUCUUGAUAAACUUGCAGCCAGAUAACCCAGUUGUUAAAAACCAUGCCAAACCAGGGCUAAGAACAGCCCAGAGGACAAUUCAGAAACAAAAAGUACUUUGAAGGAACACGUAUAGCCCUUCAAGUUUGCAAAUUAUUGU
Molecule: small RNA, 177 nt
Filed under: Microtus ochrogaster (prairie vole)
Lineage: Eukaryota; Metazoa; Chordata; Mammalia; Rodentia; Cricetidae
Description: ST7 overlapping transcript 4 conserved region 1 (ENSMOCG00000005007.1)
Rfam family: ST7 overlapping transcript 4 conserved region 1 (bases 35-177)
Source: RNAcentral